GCGAGAGUGGCGGAAUUGGCAGACGCGCUGGACUUAGAAUCCAGUGGGACUGAUAAUCCCGUGAGGGUUCAAAUCCCUCCUCUCGCACCA
RNAcentral lists this transfer RNA (90 nucleotides) under Fervidobacterium islandicum. Its description in RNAcentral is "tRNA-Leu". It matches the Rfam family "tRNA". Rfam says of the family: Transfer RNA (tRNA) molecules are approximately 80 nucleotides in length. Their secondary structure includes four short double-helical elements and three loops (D, anti-codon, and T loops). Lineage: Bacteria; Thermotogati; Thermotogota; Thermotogae; Thermotogales; Fervidobacteriaceae. RNAcentral also lists the same sequence under 14 other names. The record is from RNAcentral.